Molecule: unclassified non-coding RNA, 1062 nt
Filed under: Hevea brasiliensis (rubber tree)
Lineage: Eukaryota; Viridiplantae; Streptophyta; Magnoliopsida; Malpighiales; Euphorbiaceae
Source: RNAcentral
AAAUCGUAACAGUACAAGAGUAUAAUUUGAUGGGCUUUGCUUCUGACAUGGAUUACGGGAAAUUCUUGCUAUAUGGAAUGACCCUUGGAAGUUGCCAAUCCCUCUGAAACUUCAAUUUUUCUUAUGGAAACUAUUCAAAGAAUGUUUGCCCACCAAACAAAAGAUACAGAAUUGUAUCCCUCACUUUCCAGAUAAUUGGUCCUUUUGUGAAGAAGUGGAAACAAUUAACCAUUUGUUCUUUAAAUGCCCAGAGGCUACAGAAGCAUGGAUCCACUCUCCACUUAGACUCAGAUCAUCACUCCUGCAAGGCACUUCAUUUCUAGACUGCUGGAAGGAAAUUAAAAGAGGGGUGAAUCAAAGUGAAGAAGGGAUUCAAAUGUUGCCAUCAGUGGUGUUCAUUCUGUGGCAGUUAUGGAAGAACCACAAUUUAGUCUCCUUUCAGAAUCAAAGUUUAUCUUUUCAGCAAGUGUUUGCAGUUGCAGCCCACCGUCAAGAAGACUUUUUGUCAGCCCAAAAAUAAAGACCUUUAAUCCACAAUAUGAGAUUGCAAAAGCAACACUGGUCUCCUCCUCCUAUAGGUAUGAUCAAGCUUAACUUUCAUGCAGCAGUUCAGAAUCCGAGUAAGACAUGCACAACCAGUGUGAUUGCCAGAGACCACUUAGGAAAUUUAAAAGGAUGGCACAGCACAUCAUUUCCAGGAAUCUCCAAUCCCCUAGUGGCGGAAAGUCUUGCUUGCAGGAAAGCAAUUCAGUUAGCAGCUUCUUAUGAUUUCAGGAAAGUAAUCAUUGAAGGGGAUUCCCAAAUCGUCAUCAACAAAUGUCUUGAGAACUCCUGUCCUCAGGAAAUUCUAGAUAUUAUCAGGGACAUAUUGAGCAUUAAAUCCACUUUGAAGGAAGUUAAUUUUAAUUUUAUUCGUGGGAUUUGUAAUGGGGUGGCUUAGACAAAUCUUUUCUUCAUACUCCUAUCCUCCAAUCUCACUUUGUAAUGUCCCUUUUGCCUUCUUAGGCUUUUAAUUAAUUGCUUAUCUUUGUUAAAAUAAAUAAAUAAAUAACUCAUCGGAAG